Molecule: ribosomal RNA, 834 nt
Filed under: uncultured Wolbachia sp.
Lineage: Bacteria; Pseudomonadati; Pseudomonadota; Alphaproteobacteria; Rickettsiales; Anaplasmataceae
Description: bacterial SSU rRNA
Rfam family: Bacterial small subunit ribosomal RNA
Source: RNAcentral
GGCAGACGGGUGAGUAAUGUAUAGGAAUCUACCUAGUAGUACGGAAUAAUUGUUGGAAACGGCAACUAAUACCGUAUACGCCCUACGGGGGAAAAAUUUAUUGCUAUUAGAUGAGCCUAUAUUAGAUUAGUUAGUUGGUGAGGUAAAGGCUUACCAAGACAAUGAUCUAUAGCUGAUCUGAGAGGAUGAUCAGCCACACUGGAACUGAGAUACGGUCCAGACUCCUACGGGAGGCAGCAGUGGGGAAUAUUGGACAAUGGGCGAAAGCCUGAUCCAGCCAUGCCGCAUGAGUGAAGAAGGCCUUCGGGUUGUAAAGCUCUUUUAGUGAGGAAGAUAAUGACGGUACUCACAGAAGAAGUCCUGGCUAACUCCGUGCCAGCAGCCGCGGUAAUACGGAGAGGGCUAGCGUUAUUCGGAAUCAUUGGGCGUAAAGGGCGCGUAGGCGGGUUAGUAAGUUAAAAGUGAAAUCCCAAGGCUCAACCUUGGAACUGCUUUUAAAACUGCUAGUCUAGAGAUUGAAAGAGGAUAGAGGAAUUCCUAGUGUAGAGAUGAAAUUCGUAAAUAUUAGGAGGAACACCAGUGGCGAAGGCGUCUAUCUGGUUCAAAUCUGACGCUGAGGCGCGAAGGCGUGGGGAGCAAACAGGAUUAGAUACCCUGGUAGUCCACGCUGUAAACGAUGAAUGUUAAAUAUGGGAAGUUUACUUUCUGUAUUAUAGCUAACGCGUUAAACAUUCCGCCUGGGGACUACGGUCGCAAGAUUAAAACUCAAAGGAAUUGACGGGGNCCCGCACAAGCGGUGGAGCAUGUGGUUUAAUUCGAUGCNACGCNAAAAAC